This 253-nucleotide ribosomal RNA is filed under the name uncultured bacterium. RNAcentral describes it as "partial 16S ribosomal RNA". It matches the Rfam family "Bacterial small subunit ribosomal RNA", at positions 524 to 776 of the family's 1533-position model. The record is from RNAcentral.
UACGAAGGGGGCUAGCGUUGCUCGGAAUCACUGGGCGUAAAGCGCACGUAGGCGGAUUGUUAAGUCAGGGGUGAAAUCCUGGAGCUCAACUCCAGAACUGCCUUUGAUACUGGCAAUCUCGAGUUCGGGAGAGGUGAGUGGAACUGCGAGUGUAGAGGUGAAAUUCGUAGAUAUUCGCAAGAACACCAGUGGCGAAGGCGGCUCACUGGCCCGAUACUGACGCUGAGACGCGAAAGCUAGGGGAGCGAACAGG